GGAGUUGUGGAUCAGAGGUAGAGCACUCGCCUGGUACAUGUGAGGCACUGGGUUCAAUCCUCAGCACCA
This 69-nucleotide transfer RNA is filed under the name Marmota monax (woodchuck). RNAcentral describes it as "tRNA.Thr". The record is from RNAcentral. Lineage: Eukaryota; Metazoa; Chordata; Mammalia; Rodentia; Sciuridae.